RNAcentral lists this ribosomal RNA (983 nucleotides) under Didymocyrtis aff. consimilis Berger 26876. RNAcentral's name for it is "eukaryotic LSU rRNA". It matches the Rfam family "Eukaryotic large subunit ribosomal RNA", at positions 72 to 1076 of the family's 3401-position model. Lineage: Eukaryota; Fungi; Ascomycota; Dothideomycetes; Pleosporales; Phaeosphaeriaceae. The record is from RNAcentral.
GGAUUGCCCUAGUAACGGCGAGUGAAGCGGCAACAGCUCAAAUUUGAAAUCUGGCUCUUUCAGAGUCCGAGUUGUAAUUUGCAGAGGGCGCUUUGGCGUUGGCAGCGGUCCAAGUUCUUUGGAACAGGACGUCACAGAGGGUGAGAAUCCCGUACGUGGUCGCUAGCCUUCGCCGUGUAAAGCCCCUUCGACGAGUCGAGUUGUUUGGGAAUGCAGCUCUAAAUGGGAGGUAAAUUUCUUCUAAAGCUAAAUACUGGCCAGAGACCGAUAGCGCACAAGUAGAGUGAUCGAAAGAUGAAAAGCACUUUGGAAAGAGAGUCAAAUAGCACGUGAAAUUGUUGAAAGGGAAGCGCUUGCAGCCAGACUUGCCUGUAGUUGCUUAUCUGGACUUUUGUCCGGUGCACUCUUCUGCGGGCAGGCCAGCAUCAGUUUGGGCGGUUGGAUAAAGGUCUCUGUCAUGUACCUCCUUUCGGGGAGGCCUUAUAGGGGAGACGACAUGCAACCAGCCUGGACUGAGGUCCGCGCAUCUGCUAGGAUGCUGGCGUAAUGGCUGUAAGCGGCCCGUCUUGAAACACGGACCAAGGAGUCUAACAUCUAUGCGAGUGUUUGGGUGUCAAGCCCAGACGCGUAAUGAAAGUGAACGGAGGUGGGAACCUUUUAGGUGCACCAUCGACCGAUCCUGAUGUCUUCGGAAGGAUUUGAGUAAGAGCAUGGCUGUUGGGACCCGAAAGAUGGUGAACUAUGCUUGAAUAGGGUGAAGCCAGAGGAAACUCUGGUGGAGGCUCGCAGCGGUUCUGACGUGCAAAUCGAUCGUCAAAUUUGGGCAUAGGGGCGAAAGACUAAUCGAACUAUCUAGUAGCUGGUUCCUGCCGAAGUUUCCCUCAGGAUAGCAGUAACGUAUUCAGUUUUAUGAGGUAAAGCGAAUGAUUAGAGGCCUGGGGGUUGAAACAACCUUCACCUAUUCUCAAACUUUAAAUAUGUAA